Lagopus leucura (white-tailed ptarmigan) is the source of this 286-nucleotide long non-coding RNA. RefSeq lists it as uncharacterized. The record is from RefSeq and is a predicted model, not a curated record. The transcript is spliced from 3 exons. NCBI's taxonomy places the organism in Eukaryota, Metazoa, Chordata, Aves, Galliformes, Phasianidae.
ACAGCUGAUUUCUGGCAUUGUCUGCUGUGCCACCUUCAGAACCAUUCAAAGGAUGCUCUAAGUGCAGGACUGAGUAACCUGGACUAAGGUUUUAAAACCAAAUAAAACCAAAACCUCUCAAGGCGAGGAGAACUGGCCCCCAAGGCAGCACAGCUGUGUUGAUUUUUAAAGGCAGUGUAAACAAGUGCCUGGGGAGUUGCUGAGGUUACCUGAGUGACAGUUUGAGCACUGCAAAGCUUUUCUCCUUUAACCUGGCAUGACCAAGCUGGACAGGUGGAAACCUGAG